AGGUGCAGGAGAAGAAAGUGGAGGCCUCCAUGGUGUGUGGAAAAAAGCAUAAACCAAGAGUGAGCAGAGGAAGCCUGGAUGAGUGAAGUGGAGCAGGAGGUGCUGGAGAAGAAAGAGGAAGCAUCCAUGGUGUGUUGAAGGAAGCAGGAAGCAAGAGCAAGCAGAGGAUGUGAGGAAGCCUGGAUGACUGAAGUGGAGGCUCUUAAGCCAGGAGAAUGCAGGCAGCUUCGACAGAGCUGC
Long non-coding RNA from Calypte anna (Anna's hummingbird), 240 nucleotides. RefSeq lists it as uncharacterized. The record is from RefSeq and is a predicted model, not a curated record. The transcript has 3 exons. NCBI's taxonomy places the organism in Eukaryota, Metazoa, Chordata, Aves, Apodiformes, Trochilidae.